GUUAAAGGAACGUCGACUAAGAACCGCCACGUCCUGUGGCGAACUUCGACGCCAACCCAUCCUGGGCA
This 68-nucleotide small RNA is filed under the name Bacillus sp. CECT 9360. RNAcentral describes it as "Bacillaceae-1". It matches the Rfam family "Bacillaceae-1 RNA". The record is from RNAcentral. Lineage: Bacteria; Bacillati; Bacillota; Bacilli; Caryophanales; Bacillaceae.